Molecule: ribosomal RNA, 1125 nt
Filed under: uncultured bacterium
Lineage: Bacteria
Description: bacterial SSU rRNA
Rfam family: Bacterial small subunit ribosomal RNA
Source: RNAcentral
AGUAGGGAAUAUUGGGCAAUGGGCGAAAGCCUGACCCAGCCAUGCCGCGUGAAGGAAGACGGCCUUAUGGGUUGUAAACUUCUUUACUACGCGAAUAGAGGUUAGUACGAGAUACUAAUAGGAAGGUAGUGUAGUAAAAAGCACCGGCUAACUCCGUGCCAGCAGCCGCGGUAAUACGGAGGGUGCAAGCGUUAUUCGGAAUUACUGGGUUUAAAGGGUGCGUAGGCGGUUAAAUAAGUUGUCAGUGAAAGGCUACGGCUCAACUGUAGUAGUGCUGGCGAUACUGUAUAACUAAGAACAUGGGAGGGGUACCUGGAAUGUGUGGUGUAGCGGUGAAAUGCGUAGAUAUCACACAGAACACCGGAGGCAAAGGCGGGGUACUAGACCAUAGUUGACGCUGAGGCACGAAAGCGUGGGGAUCAAACAGGAUUAGAUACCCUGGUAGUCCACGCCCUAAACGAUGAUCACUAGAUAUUGGCGACAGACAGUCAGUGUCCAAGCGAAAGUGAUAAGUGAUCCACCUGGGGAAUACGGCCGCAAGGUUAAAACUCAAAGGAAUUGACGGGGGCCCGCACAAGCGGAGGAGCAUGUGGUUUAAUUCGAUGGUACGCGAGGAACCUUACCUGGGUUAGAACGUAUGAUAAAUGUAGCUGAAAGGUUACAGUCCUGCAAGGGAUAUCAUACGAGGUGCUGCAUGGUUGUCGUCAGCUCGUGCCGUGAGGUGUUUGGUUAAGUCCAGCAACGAGCGCAACCCCUACCUUUAGUUGCCAGCAGGUAAAGCUGGGGACACUAGAGGGACUGCCUGCGCAAGCAGAGAGGAAGGUGGGGAUGACGUCAAAUCAGCACGGCCCUUAUGUCCAGGGCUACACACGUGCUACAAUGGUAACUACAGAGGGCAGCGACUAGGCGACUAGGAGCGAAUCUCGAAAAGUUAUCUCAGUUCGGAUUGGAGUCUGCAACUCGACUCCAUGAAGGUGGAUUCGCUAGUAAUCGCGCAUCAGCAAUGGCGCGGUGAAUACGUUCCCGGGCCUUGUACACACCGCCCGUCAAGCCAUGGAAGUUGGGGGUACCUAAAGUUCGUAACCGUAAAAGGAGCGACCUAGGGUAAACUCGAUGACUGGGGCU